Long non-coding RNA from Erinaceus europaeus (western European hedgehog), 1552 nucleotides. RefSeq lists it as uncharacterized. The transcript has 3 exons. The record is from RefSeq and is a predicted model, not a curated record. Lineage: Eukaryota; Metazoa; Chordata; Mammalia; Eulipotyphla; Erinaceidae.
AGCUUGUGCAGAUUCUUCCAGCUGUGGACUUUAAAAUUUUAUUUUAUUACAUAUGAGAGUCUUACAUGAGGCAGAGAGGGGAAAGAUACAUACAGACUGACAGAGAUAUAUGCAGCGCAGGUGUCAAAGUGUGCUAACUUAGCACUGGAGCUAGUUCCAGCGGGGCACACUUGAUUUAUGUAAAUUUCCUGCUUCUAUUCAGCCUGGAGAAUGCCAGGAGCUGUGAGGCCAGUUCCCAGGGUCAGCUCCACAAACAUGGCCUCAGCUGAGGCUCUAGCAGGGCUGCAGGCUGGCCCUCCCCAGCUGAGUCACCACAGCGUCCUUGCCACCAGCCUGGGGACCUGGGUUGCUAGGGGCGGCCUUGGGGUCUGUGGGUUAUGCCCACCUGCCCUCUGUACUCUCCCCCCCCCCCGUGCAGGGUGGGCUGCCAGGCGAAGGUGUCUACACUGCCUCACCCACCCCCAACCACCCGUAGCAGAGGCUGUGGAGCCCAGGUGCCACUCCCCUCGAGGAAAGCCCUGGGACCCCUUUCCACCUCUUCGCAAAGGUCACCGCACCGGGCCUGGAGAGUUUUGGGUUGCAACACCCGCCUGGGGUUUGGGGAGGUCAGUUCGUGCCCGGACUGCGAGGGGCGCCCUUCCAGCGCUCGCCCGCCCGCGCCAGCCAGUCGGGCGCAGCUAUUUAUAACCCGGGUCGGGUCGCAUUACCUCCUGACCUUCAGUCGGGCCGCGAUCCGCAGCGAUUAGCAUCUCCCCGCCGCCCGCUGCGAACAAACACCCCUCUGUGCGCCCUCCCUUCGAGGCCUGCAGGAAGCAGGAUAUGGACCCGGAGUCGUGCCCCGUGGCUCCCCAGGGCGCACCCAGCCACGUGCUACUGAUUCUAUUCUAGAGUAUCCACCUUACUUGAUAGAUGGUCUACUAACAUGCCACUGAGGACUAUUUUUACAAUCACGUCAGAUGUCUACAUUCUGAGUACACAAACCAGAGUAGACAAAAUACCACUGCAUGAAACAUGGAUGGAAUGGAACUGAUCUAUCAUGUGAUUCAUUUUAUAAUCAUAUCUCCUUCCAGGGUCCUUCCCAAGUAAAUGAACUACAGGUCAAAGGCUCCCUUAUCCAACACCCCCCCAGUGGCUUUUCACAGCAAUGUCAAACUGUGAUGAGGAGCAAUCUUUUAAAAGGAGAACAGCAAAGUCUAGUUUCUGAACUGAAACAAUCAGGUGGUAAAAGUAUAAAAAAAAAAAAAAAACUAAGCUUGGCUUUUAAAUUAUUUUUAAAUUACAAUGGUAACAUUGACAUUGAUUAGCUAAAACAUAAUACUGUCAUUUAUUUUUUGAGUUGUUUUGUUCUGAAGGUUCCUCUGUCUCCCCCCUCCCCUCUCAAUUUCUGUCCCUAUUAAAAAUAAAUAAAUAAAUAAAUAAAAACACACAUGCUCACUAGUAGAAUGCAGGACUUGAAUGUAAGGUGCCAAGUUUAACCCCCAACCCCUCAUAAAAUGACAAAAGUGCUCUAGUCAUUCUAUCUAAACACUACAAUUAACUUUAUUAUAUUACA